Molecule: ribosomal RNA, 465 nt
Filed under: Porites lobata
Lineage: Eukaryota; Metazoa; Cnidaria; Anthozoa; Scleractinia; Poritidae
Description: partial 16S ribosomal RNA
Rfam family: Bacterial large subunit ribosomal RNA
Source: RNAcentral
GUUUGACCGGUAUGAAUGGUGUCACGAGGGUCUCACUGUCUUAAGAAAAUGUCCAGUGAAAUUGAAUUUGUAGUGAAGAUGCUACAUCCAAAUUGUUAGACAAGAAGUCCCCAUGGAACUUUACUGGAAACUUAUGUGGCUUAAAUUAAUUUAUUUCUUACAAAUAAGUAGUUUUAAAAUGUGGUGUUAACCUCUUGGAUUAAUUGGGGUUAGAAAAGCUCACUCUUUUAUUUUAAGAAAGCCAACUCAAAAACUUAUGUCUUUGGGAUUGGAUAAGUGGGACAGUUUGGUUGGGGCGACCGCCUUUAAAAAAGUAACGAAGGCGGGCUUAAGAUAUAUUUUUAGUUAUGUCUGACUGCGAAGGGGGAAUCUUGAGCAGGCACUUAUUUUAUAGGUGGGUUUAAGUGACCCGUUAAUUUAGGGUGAAAUAGUUAACGAUUAACAGAUUAAAGUUUCCCCUGGGGA